UACGUAGGCAGCGAGCGUUGUUCGGAGUUACUGGGCGUAAAGGGCGCGUAGGCGGCGCGGUAUGUCUCUUGUGAAAUCUCCAGGCUCAACUUGGAGUCUGCAAGGGAAACUGCCGUGCUUGAGUACUGGAGAGGUGAGUGGAAUUCCUGGUGUAGCGGUGAAAUGCGUAGAUAUCAGGAGGAACACCUGUGGCGAAAGCGGCUCACUGGACCAUAACUGACGCUGAUGCACGAAAGCUAGGGGAGCAAACAGG
RNAcentral lists this ribosomal RNA (253 nucleotides) under uncultured bacterium. RNAcentral's name for it is "partial 16S ribosomal RNA". It matches the Rfam family "Bacterial small subunit ribosomal RNA", at positions 524 to 776 of the family's 1533-position model. The record is from RNAcentral.